GAUGAACGCUGGCGGCGUGCCUAAUACAUGCAAGUCGAGCGAACAGACGAGGAGCUUGCUCCUCUGACGUUAGCGGCGGACGGGUGAGUAACACGUGGAUAACCUACCUAUAAGACUGGGAUAACUCCGGGAAACCGGAGCUAAUACCGGAUAAUAUAUUGAACCGCAUGGUUCAAUAGUGAAAGACGGUUUUGCUGUCACUUAUAGAUGGAUCCGCGCCGCAUUAGCUAGUUGGUAAGGUAACGGCUUACCAAGGCAACGAUGCGUAGCCGACCUGAGAGGGUGAUCGGCCACACUGGAACUGAGACACGGUCCAGACUCCUACGGGAGGCAGCAGUAGGGAAUCUUCCGCAAUGGGCGAAAGCUUGACGGAGCAACGCCGCGUGAGUGAUGAAGGUCUUCGGAUCGUAAAACUCUGUUAUUAGGGAACAACAAAUGUGUAAGUAACUAUGCACGUCUUGACGGUACCUAAUCAGAAAGCCACGGCUAACUACGUG
Molecule: ribosomal RNA, 497 nt
Filed under: uncultured bacterium
Lineage: Bacteria
Description: partial 16S ribosomal RNA
Rfam family: Bacterial small subunit ribosomal RNA
Source: RNAcentral